GACGAGCGCUGGCGGCGUGCUUAACACAUGCAAGUCGAACGGAAAGGCCCGGCUUUUGUGGGGUGCGCGAGGGGCGAACGGGGGAGUAACACGUGAGUAACCUGCCCUUGACAUUAGGAUAACCUCAGGAAACUGGGGCUAAUACCGGAUAGGAGCUCCUGCUGCAUGGUGGGGGUGGGAAAGUUUCGGCGGUUGGGGGUGGACUCGCGGCUUAUCAGCUUGUUGGUGGGGUAGUGGCUUAGCAAGGCUAUGAAGCGUAGCCGAGCUGAGAGGGUGACCGGCCACACUGCGACGGGGCUACGGCCCAGCCUCCUCCGGGAGGCAGCGGUGGGGUAGAUUGCACUAUGGGCGGAGCCCUGGUGCAGCCCCGCCGCGCGCGGGAUGUCGGCCAUCGCGUUGUAAUCCGCUUCCGCCUGUCACGAAGCGUGAGUGACGGUACCUGGUGAAUAAGCACCGGCUAACUCCGUG
RNAcentral lists this ribosomal RNA (468 nucleotides) under uncultured bacterium. RNAcentral's name for it is "partial 16S ribosomal RNA". It matches the Rfam family "Bacterial small subunit ribosomal RNA", at positions 28 to 507 of the family's 1533-position model. The record is from RNAcentral.